AUGGCGGGUGGGGGACGGGGACCACAUCUAGACGUGGCGAGAUCCUUGGAUCCCACGGCCAUCUUCCUUCCGGCCGAUCACCCAAAAGGCUCCUGCCGUCUCAAUCGUGUUUCAACGUUUCUGGAUGCUAAUGGGGCAUGGAGGGCCGAUCGCCUCCGUGAAUAUUUUUGGGAGAUGGAUGUUCAGCAUAUUCUCAAAAUUCGAACUUCUCCAAGACAUCGGUCUGACUUUAUCUCAUGGUAUCCAAAGAAGAGUGGAGUUUUCUCAGUUAAAAGUGCAUACAAUUAUCUACAUGCGAUCACAACACAACAUUUUCUGAAGGGGCAACAAGUGCGUCCGCGAGUGGAUCCCGGUCCAUAUGGAACUGUGUGUGGCAAACAUCGGUCCCGCAGAAGAUGA
Molecule: ribosomal RNA, 399 nt
Filed under: Triticum aestivum (bread wheat)
Lineage: Eukaryota; Viridiplantae; Streptophyta; Magnoliopsida; Poales; Poaceae
Description: partial small subunit ribosomal RNA
Source: RNAcentral